UGUACUGCAUGGUAUCUGCGUUCAGCAGCUUUUUUCAGAAAUUCAGUAUCUGGCAUGGUUCAUUUUCUUGGCUUUGUGCAUGUUAAACCUGGUGUUUCUAUUGGUACAGUA
RNAcentral lists this small nucleolar RNA (111 nucleotides) under Dasypus novemcinctus (nine-banded armadillo). Its description in RNAcentral is "Small nucleolar RNA SNORA8 (ENSDNOG00000029235.1)". It matches the Rfam family "Small nucleolar RNA SNORA8". Rfam says of the family: ACA8 is a member of the H/ACA class of snoRNA that guide the sites of modification of uridines to pseudouridines. The record is from RNAcentral. Lineage: Eukaryota; Metazoa; Chordata; Mammalia; Cingulata; Dasypodidae.